UACAGAGGGUGCAAGCGUUGUUCGGAAUUAUUGGGCGUAAAGCGCGUGUAGGCGGCUUGUUAAGUCGGGUGUGAAAGCCCUCAGCUCAACUGAGGAAGUGCGCCCGAAACUGGCGAGCUUGAGUGUCGGAGAGGAUGGCGGAAUACCCCAAGUAGAGGUGAAAUUCGUAGAUAUGGGGUGGAACACCGGUGGCGGAGGCGGCCAUCUGGACGACAACUGACGCUGAGACGCGAAAGCGUGGGGAGCAAACAGG
RNAcentral lists this ribosomal RNA (253 nucleotides) under uncultured bacterium. RNAcentral's name for it is "partial 16S ribosomal RNA". It matches the Rfam family "Bacterial small subunit ribosomal RNA", at positions 524 to 776 of the family's 1533-position model. The record is from RNAcentral.